CCAGUGAAGGCAAUGUAACUGCAGAAGACACUGAGGAGGCAAGUAAGAAAAAAUCUUGGCCCCCGUGUAUUAAUUAUCAUUAGAUCACCCUUGUUGUAUACAGGAUCACUCUUUAUCAUUACUGCUGUAAAACCUGCUACAAUUGGAAGAGAAAAUGAUCUGGAGCAUACUCUUUGAAUUCCUGAAGUUGCUGUCAGUAAGUUUCAGCAAAAAUUUAUUCUGACCAUGAUUUACAAAGUUAUGUCCUUGUAUAUCAAGGCAGUCAAAAUGAAACAAUUGUUAAUGGAAAACGGAUUGUUCGGCUGACAACUAAAUGUGAGCCUUAUGUACCUAAGCAUAGACAUGAAAUGAAAAUUGGAGAGACUAGGUUACCCUUUCACAUUCACCCUGGCAGUGAUACUUGUGAUGGCUGUGAACCACAGCAGGUUGGAACUCACUUUCACCUUGAUAAGAGAGAGAAUUGUUUAUUGAAUUAAUUGUUUACAGCUAAGUAGGGGAAAAAAGAGUUGGAAAUAAGAAAAUAAUUUUUAAAAUGUGAGUAAAGUAUGUUUUACAUUAUACAGACUAUGAAGAUGAAUAGACAUUGAAGAACCUGAAACAUAAAGAUACAGCUGGAAAAAGUAAGGAGCCUAUUGGAAGUGAAGAACACUUCCAAAGAGUUGAUGCACCUGCAUCUGUUCAUUCUGAAAUUACUGACAGCAACAAAAGUCAGAAGAUGUUUGAGGAGGUGGGUUGGAAAAAAGAAGAGGGCCUGGGGAAGGAUGGUGGAGGAAUGAAAACUCCAAUUUUGCUUUAGCUUUAGCAGACACACGUAGGCUUGAGGACAGGCAAUUCCUCCUCAAUUGAAGAUGUUCACCUUCUCCAAAACAAAAACAAACUGGGACAAAGCAUGAGAUAGGUUUUCUGAAAAUUUCCCAGAAACUAAACCUUGAAAAGAUGACCUAGGGACUAGGCCUUGGGUAAAAAGGGGCUGUCG
This 976-nucleotide long non-coding RNA is filed under the name Homo sapiens (human). Its description in RNAcentral is "non-protein coding lnc-TP53TG3F-30:1". Lineage: Eukaryota; Metazoa; Chordata; Mammalia; Primates; Hominidae. The record is from RNAcentral.